GUGAACGCUGGCGGUAGGCCUAACACAUGCCAGUCGCACGGCAGCACAGUAAGAGCUUGCUCUUACGGGUGGCGAGUGGCGGACGGGUGAGGAAUACAUCGGAAUCUACUUUUUCGUGGGGGAUAACGUAGGGAAACUUACGCUAAUACCGCAUACGACCUACGGGUGAAAGCAGGGGAUCUUCGGACCUUGCGCGGUUGAAUGAGCCGAUGUCGGAUUAGCUAGUUGGCGGGGUAAAGGCCCACCAAGGCGACGAUCCGUAGCUGGUCUGAGAGGAUGAUCAGCCACACUGGAACUGAGACACGGUCCAGACUCCUACGGGAGGCAGCAGUGGGGAAUAUUGGACAAUGGGCGCAAGCCUGAUCCAGCCAUACCGCGUGGGUGAAGAAGGCCUUCGGGUUGUAAAGCCCUUUUGUUGGGAAAGAAAAGCAGCAGGUUAAUACCCCGCUGUUCUGACGGUACCCAAAGAAUAAGCACCGGCUAACUUCGUG
Molecule: ribosomal RNA, 491 nt
Filed under: uncultured bacterium
Lineage: Bacteria
Description: partial 16S ribosomal RNA
Rfam family: Bacterial small subunit ribosomal RNA
Source: RNAcentral